This 397-nucleotide ribosomal RNA is filed under the name uncultured bacterium. RNAcentral describes it as "partial 16S ribosomal RNA". It matches the Rfam family "Bacterial small subunit ribosomal RNA", at positions 523 to 918 of the family's 1533-position model. The record is from RNAcentral.
AUACGUAGGUGGCGAGCGUUGUCCGGAAUUACUGGGCGUAAAGGAUGCGUAGGUGGUUGUUUAAGUCUGUCGUGAAAGCCCUGGGCUCAACCUGGGAAUGGCGAUGGAAACUGGGCGACUAGAGUGUGGCAGAGGGUAGUGGAAUUCCUGGUGUAGCAGUGAAAUGCGUAGAGAUCAGGAGGAACAUCCGUGGCGAAGGCGACUGCCUGGGCCAACACUGACACUGAGGCACGAAAGCGUGGGGAGCAAACAGGAUUAGAUACCCUGGUAGUCCACGCCCUAAACGAUGCGAACUGGAUGUUGGGUGCAAUUUGGCACGCAGUAUCGAAGCUAACGCGUUAAGUUCGCCGCCUGGGGAGUACGGUCGCAAGACUGAAACUCAAAGGAAUUGACGGGG